CCUUUGGUGAUCUGAUGGCUAGGAUUCCCGGCUUUCAUCCAGGCUACCCAGGUUCGAUUCCUGGACAGGGAU
Molecule: transfer RNA, 72 nt
Filed under: Ovis aries (sheep)
Lineage: Eukaryota; Metazoa; Chordata; Mammalia; Artiodactyla; Bovidae
Rfam family: tRNA
About the family: Transfer RNA (tRNA) molecules are approximately 80 nucleotides in length. Their secondary structure includes four short double-helical elements and three loops (D, anti-codon, and T loops).
Source: Rfam by way of RNAcentral